UGGGGCCUCAGGGCUGUCUGAGUGGCUCUGGCUGUCCGAGUGGCUCUGUCCUGUCUGAAUCUUGUCACCGACAGCCCAGAGCAGGCUCUCAGGCCUAAUCCUCCCACAGCCCCUCCCUGCAGGCUCUGGUGAAUAUUGGGGGCGUGUCUCACCAGCUGUUCCCCGUAGGGCACAGUGGUUGUCAGGACAGCACCGGCCACAGGGAAAGGGCCACGCGCAGCCGCAUGUCCCUCCCUCCACACAGUGUGCAGAACCAGAGAACGCCUUCUGAGAAAAACAGACACCAUGGGGAAUUGACCUGUCCUCCAUCACGGUGGGAGAGCGAAGAGCCCGGAGCCUGGAGCCCGGCCUGCCGCUCCGUGUUCCUUCAGCCACGUCCUCUGGAAAG
This 388-nucleotide long non-coding RNA is filed under the name Chinchilla lanigera (long-tailed chinchilla). RNAcentral's name for it is "lncRNA (ENSCLAG00000023032.1)". The record is from RNAcentral. Lineage: Eukaryota; Metazoa; Chordata; Mammalia; Rodentia; Chinchillidae.